GUCCUUCGGGAUGAGUAGAGUGGCGCACGGGUGAGUAACACGUGGGUAAUUUGCCUUCGAGUGGGGAAUACCAACCGGAAACGGUUGUUAAUACCGCAUAACACGUUUAUCGUAAAGGUAAUCGUCAAAGCAGGGGAUCGUAAGACCUUGUGCUUGAAGAGAAGCCCGCGGCAGAUUAGGUAGUUGGUAAGGUAAUGGCUUACCAAGCCUGCGAUCUGUAACCGACCUGAGAGGGUGGUCGGUCACACUGACACUGACAUACGGGUCAGACUCCUACGGGAGGCAGCAGUCGGGAAUUUUGGGCAAUGGGCGAAAGCCUGACCCAGCAACGCCGCGUGAAGGAUGAAGCAUUUCGGUGUGUAAACUUCGCAAGAACAGGAAGAAUAAGUGAAUGAUAACACCGUUCAUGAUGACGG
Molecule: ribosomal RNA, 416 nt
Filed under: uncultured bacterium
Lineage: Bacteria
Description: bacterial SSU rRNA
Rfam family: Bacterial small subunit ribosomal RNA
Source: RNAcentral